This 2980-nucleotide ribosomal RNA is filed under the name Staphylococcus aureus. RNAcentral's name for it is "23S ribosomal RNA". It matches the Rfam family "Bacterial large subunit ribosomal RNA". The record is from RNAcentral. Lineage: Bacteria; Bacillati; Bacillota; Bacilli; Caryophanales; Staphylococcaceae.
AUGAAGGACGUUACUAACGACGAUAUGCUUUGGGGAGCUGUAAGUAAGCUUUGAUCCAGAGAUUUCCGAAUGGGGAAACCCAGCAUGAGUUAUGUCAUGUUAUCGAUAUGUGAAUACAUAGCAUAUCAGAAGGCACACCCGGAGAACUGAAACAUCUUAGUACCCGGAGGAAGAGAAAGAAAAUUCGAUUCCCUUAGUAGCGGCGAGCGAAACGGGAAGAGCCCAAACCAACAAGCUUGCUUGUUGGGGUUGUAGGACACUCUAUACGGAGUUACAAAGGACGACAUUAGACGAAUCAUCUGGAAAGAUGAAUCAAAGAAGGUAAUAAUCCUGUAGUCGAAAAUGUUGUCUCUCUUGAGUGGAUCCUGAGUACGACGGAGCACGUGAAAUUCCGUCGGAAUCUGGGAGGACCAUCUCCUAAGGCUAAAUACUCUCUAGUGACCGAUAGUGAACCAGUACCGUGAGGGAAAGGUGAAAAGCACCCCGGAAGGGGAGUGAAAUAGAACCUGAAACCGUGUGCUUACAAGUAGUCAGAGCCCGUUAAUGGGUGAUGGCGUGCCUUUUGUAGAAUGAACCGGCGAGUUACGAUUUGAUGCAAGGUUAAGCAGUAAAUGUGGAGCCGUAGCGAAAGCGAGUCUGAAUAGGGCGUUUAGUAUUUGGUCGUAGACCCGAAACCAGGUGAUCUACCCUUGGUCAGGUUGAAGUUCAGGUAACACUGAAUGGAGGACCGAACCGACUUACGUUGAAAAGUGAGCGGAUGAACUGAGGGUAGCGGAGAAAUUCCAAUCGAACCUGGAGAUAGCUGGUUCUCUCCGAAAUAGCUUUAGGGCUAGCCUCAAGUGAUGAUUAUUGGAGGUAGAGCACUGUUUGGACGAGGGGCCCCUCUCGGGUUACCGAAUUCAGACAAACUCCGAAUGCCAAUUAAUUUAACUUGGGAGUCAGAACAUGGGUGAUAAGGUCCGUGUUCGAAAGGGAAACAGCCCAGACCACCAGCUAAGGUCCCAAAAUAUAUGUUAAGUGGAAAAGGAUGUGGCGUUGCCCAGACAACUAGGAUGUUGGCUUAGAAGCAGCCAUCAUUUAAAGAGUGCGUAAUAGCUCACUAGUCGAGUGACACUGCGCCGAAAAUGUACCGGGGCUAAACAUAUUACCGAAGCUGUGGAUUGUCCUUUGGACAAUGGUAGGAGAGCGUUCUAAGGGCGUUGAAGCAUGAUCGUAAGGACAUGUGGAGCGCUUAGAAGUGAGAAUGCCGGUGUGAGUAGCGAAAGACGGGUGAGAAUCCCGUCCACCGAUUGACUAAGGUUUCCAGAGGAAGGCUCGUCCGCUCUGGGUUAGUCGGGUCCUAAGCUGAGGCCGACAGGCGUAGGCGAUGGAUAACAGGUUGAUAUUCCUGUACCACCUAUAAUCGUUUUAAUCGAUGGGGGGACNNNNNNNNNNNNNNNNNNNNNNNNNNNNNNNNNNNNNNNNNNNNNNNNNNNNNNNNNNNNNNNNNNNNNNNNNNNNNNNNNNNNNNNNNNNNNNNCGAUGGGGGGACGCAGUAGGAUAGGCGAAGCGUGCGAUUGGAUUGCACGUCUAAGCAGUAAGGCUGAGUAUUAGGCAAAUCCGGUACUCGUUAAGGCUGAGCUGUGAUGGGGAGAAGACAUUGUGUCUUCGAGUCGUUGAUUUCACACUGCCGAGAAAAGCCUCUAGAUAGAAAAUAGGUGCCCGUACCGCAAACCGACACAGGUAGUCAAGAUGAGAAUUCUAAGGUGAGCGAGCGAACUCUCGUUAAGGAACUCGGCAAAAUGACCCCGUAACUUCGGGAGAAGGGGUGCUCUUUAGGGUUAACGCCCAGAAGAGCCGCAGUGAAUAGGCCCAAGCGACUGUUUAUCAAAAACACAGGUCUCUGCUAAACCGUAAGGUGAUGUAUAGGGGCUGACGCCUGCCCGGUGCUGGAAGGUUAAGAGGAGUGGUUAGCUUCUGCGAAGCUACGAAUCGAAGCCCCAGUAAACGGCGGCCGUAACUAUAACGGUCCUAAGGUAGCGAAAUUCCUUGUCGGGUAAGUUCCGACCCGCACGAAAGGCGUAACGAUUUGGGCACUGUCUCAACGAGAGACUCGGUGAAAUCAUAGUACCUGUGAAGAUGCAGGUUACCCGCGACAGGACGGAAAGACCCCGUGGAGCUUUACUGUAGCCUGAUAUUGAAAUUCGGCACAGCUUGUACAGGAUAGGUAGGAGCCUUUGAAACGUGAGCGCUAGCUUACGUGGAGGCGCUGGUGGGAUACUACCCUAGCUGUGUUGGCUUUCUAACCCGCACCACUUAUCGUGGUGGGAGACAGUGUCAGGCGGGCAGUUUGACUGGGGCGGUCGCCUCCUAAAAGGUAACGGAGGCGCUCAAAGGUUCCCUCAGAAUGGUUGGAAAUCAUUCAUAGAGUGUAAAGGCAUAAGGGAGCUUGACUGCGAGACCUACAAGUCGAGCAGGGUCGAAAGACGGACUUAGUGAUCCGGUGGUUCCGCAUGGAAGGGCCAUCGCUCAACGGAUAAAAGCUACCCCGGGGAUAACAGGCUUAUCUCCCCCAAGAGUUCACAUCGACGGGGAGGUUUGGCACCUCGAUGUCGGCUCAUCGCAUCCUGGGGCUGUAGUCGGUCCCAAGGGUUGGGCUGUUCGCCCAUUAAAGCGGUACGCGAGCUGGGUUCAGAACGUCGUGAGACAGUUCGGUCCCUAUCCGUCGUGGGCGUAGGAAAUUUGAGAGGAGCUGUCCUUAGUACGAGAGGACCGGGAUGGACAUACCUCUGGUGUACCAGUUGUCGUGCCAACGGCAUAGCUGGGUAGCUAUGUGUGGACGGGAUAAGUGCUGAAAGCAUCUAAGCAUGAAGCCCCCCUCAAGAUGAGAUUUCCCAACUUCGGUUAUAAGAUCCCUCAAAGAUGAUGAGGUUAAUAGGUUCGAGGUGGAAGCAUGGUGACAUGUGGAGCUGACGAAUACUAAUCGAUCGAAGACUUAAUC